GUGUCUGAUCAUUAAAGUUAUUAUGAUAAUGUAUGUAUAAAUUGGUGGUGGACAUUGGGUCACAUUGGUCUAAUAUGGAAAAGGCAUGGGCUUGGCUUCCAAGGAAUAGCCUUGAGUAUGAGAUUGGAGCAAAAAAUUUUGUGUAUGUAGCAUCAAGUAGUAUUGAUAAUCCUGCAGAGAUUCUCUGUCCAUGUGUCGAUUGUCGGAAUGUUUGCCAUCAGCUGCUAGAUACUGUAGUGGAUCAUAUUGUGAUGAGAGGUAUGGAUUUGAAGUACAAGAGGAAUCAUGUUGGUUUAAUCAUGGGGACAGGAGAGAGAGAACAUCUGGAGAUGUUCUAACUUCAGAGGAAGAGGCUUAUGACUUGAUAAGGACAGCUUAUUUUGAGUCUGAAGUUGGUGAUGAACAUCCAUCUGAGGCGUAUACUACAGAAGAAGCAGAGUUUAGGGAAAAGUUAGAGGAUGCUGAAACUGCACUAUACUCAACUUGUCACAAGUAUAACAAGGUUUCUGCAAUAAAGGUUCUUUACAACAUCAAAGUGAAGAUUGGGAUGUCAGAGAACUUCUUUGAUCAGCUAUUGACGACUUAUUGUUAGAAAAAAUCUGAUAAUGUGGGAGCUCAAUCUGGUGUAAGUCAUGUUAGUGGAGGAGUUAGGUGUCAGCUGCUAGAUUGGAUUGCAGAUGAAGAUAUCGUUAUCGGUGAAGGAGAAUUCUGCUCUUUUGAUCCACUAUACAAGAUUGGUCGCAUUCCACUUGGUCCUAAUGCUGCAACUGUUAUUGUGAAAUCUGUAAUACACACAAGCUCACAGUUGUGGAGGCCUACACAAAACAUUGUCACACUUGGGGAAGCUGUGGGACUCAAAAUUCCAUGGCAAGGUGAUAAGGUGAUUUUGGAUGAAGACAUCUCAACAAGUCCGAACAUAACUUCUCGUUCCAAGGAUACCAUAUCAGCUGAGUCACUUCAAAGAUGCAAACUUUUUGAUUGGAAUUCUGAUGAUGGUGAAUGUAUUGCUGAGGGUGUUUUGUGAUCCACUGAUCCGAAACAAAUGAUAAACAACAUUCCUAUUGGUAUGAAUGCUUGCAUUGUGAAAAUUGAUCUUGUUCUGAGGGAUGCGUCUUAUCUGUGGAGACCAACAUCUGAACUCCAUGUGAUGGCUGAUGCACAUUAUAGAGAAAUCCAAUGGCCACUUACUAAGAUAAAACGCAUCAGUUGGAAUGCAGAGGUGCCUUCAGUCAGAAGCUCGCCUGGGAAUGCAAGUUCAAACUCUGGUUCCAGCAAAGGGAAAAACAAGUAGUGCUUCCUGUUGGAUUGCAAAAAUUCUGAAAAGACAGUUGCAGAGAGUCGAGUGUGUUCAACUGAUCCUGCAGAGACAGUCCAUAACAGACCCUUAGGACCAAAUGCUUGCAAGGUCUGGGUUGAUGUUUCAAUGAUUGAUAAUGCUAAAGUGUGGAGGCCAAAUUCAGAAGUGUAAUUCAUCGCAGAUGCACAAGGCACAACUGUUGCUUGGCCUAAUGACAAGAUAGUCUAUCUUUGAAAUUCUUAAGUACUGAUGCAGGGAGCAUCUAGAAGCUUUCCUCUUUACUCUGCUUCCUUUUUUCCUCUGUUUUAACAUAUCAGUUUUUACAUUAUAAUUAUGUAUUACUUCCUUUGCUGUUUAGUUAAGUUUCUUCUUUUCUAAGUUAGAAUAGGCUUUGUAUUCUCUAUAUAAGAGAAUGACCUAUUACGA
Molecule: RNA transcript, 1723 nt
Organism: Camelina sativa (false flax)
Lineage: Eukaryota; Viridiplantae; Streptophyta; Magnoliopsida; Brassicales; Brassicaceae
Source: RefSeq, a predicted model, not a curated record